AUGAAGAACGUAGCGAAAUGCGAUACGUAAUGUGAAUUGCAGAAUUCAGUGAAUCAUCGAAUCUUUGAACGCUUAUUGCGCUCUUUGGUAUUCCGAAGAGCAUGCUUGUUUGAGUAUCAGUAAACACCUCAAAAGAUUUUCAUUUUUGAAAUGAUUUUGGACUUGAGCAAUCCCAACACCAGUCUUCACGGAUCGGCGGAGGGUUGCUUGAAAUGCAGGUGCAGCUGGACAUUCUCCUGAGCUAAAAGCAUAUCUAUUUAGUCCCGUCAAACGGAUUAUUACUUUUGCUGCAGCUAACAUAAAGGGAGUUUGACCAUUUUGGCUGACUGAUGCAGGAUUUCACAAGGGUCGGUAAAACGAUUUUUGUAAAACUCGAUCUCAAAUCAAGUAAGACUACCCGCUGAACUUAAGCAUAUCAAUAAGCGGAGGA
Molecule: unclassified non-coding RNA, 430 nt
Filed under: soil metagenome
Description: partial contains 5.8S ribosomal RNA, internal transcribed spacer 2, and large subunit ribosomal RNA
Rfam family: 5.8S ribosomal RNA (bases 1-119)
Source: RNAcentral